CGGGCUGGUCAUCGUGACCCAGGUCCACCUUUCGACGGGUAAGACACCC
Molecule: non-coding RNA, 49 nt
Filed under: unclassified sequences
Description: DUF3800-XI RNA
Rfam family: DUF3800-XI RNA
About the family: Actinobacteria, Firmicutes, Proteobacteria, Spirochaetes (1 example). Nearby to DUF3800
Source: Rfam by way of RNAcentral